RNAcentral lists this ribosomal RNA (503 nucleotides) under uncultured bacterium. RNAcentral's name for it is "partial 16S ribosomal RNA". It matches the Rfam family "Bacterial small subunit ribosomal RNA", at positions 30 to 523 of the family's 1533-position model. The record is from RNAcentral.
AUUGAACGCUGGCGGCAGGCUUAACACAUGCAAGUCGAGCGGGGUGAUGGUGCUUGCACUAUCACUUAGCGGCGGACGGGUGAGUAAUGCUUAGGAAUCUGCCUAUUAGUGGGGGACAACAUCUCGCAAGGGAUGCUAAUACCGCAUACGUCCUACGGGAGAAAGCAGGGGAUCACUUGUGACCUUGCGCUAAUAGAUGAGCCUAAGUCGGAUUAGCUAGUUGGUGGGGUAAAGGCCUACCAAGGCGACGCUCUGUAGCGGGUCUGAGAGGAUGGUCAGCCACACUGGGGAUGGGACACUCCCCAUACGCCUCCGGGAGGCGACGGUGGGGAAGAUUGGACGAUGGGGGGCCGCCGGAGCCAGCCAGGCCGCGUGUGUGAAGAAGGACUUAUGGUUGUCCAGCACUUCAAGCGAGGAGGAGACCCGUUAGGUUAGUACCCAAGAUGAGUCGACGUUACUCGCAGAAUAAGCACCGGCUCACUCUGUGCCAGCCGCCGCGGUAA